Molecule: ribosomal RNA, 508 nt
Filed under: uncultured Glomus
Lineage: Eukaryota; Fungi; Glomeromycota; Glomeromycetes; Glomerales; Glomeraceae
Description: SSU rRNA
Rfam family: Eukaryotic small subunit ribosomal RNA
Source: RNAcentral
AGCAGCCGCGGUAAUUCCAGCUCCAAUAGCGUAUAUUAAAGUUGUUGCAGUUAAAAAGCUCGUAGUUGAAUUUCGGGAUCAGUACGCUGGUCAUGCCUUUGGUAUGCGCUGGUGUCACUGGUUUCUCCCUUCUGAAGAACCGUGAUGUCAUUAAUUUGGUGUCGCGGGGAAUCAGGACUGUUACUUUGAAAAAUUAGAGUGUUUAAAGCAGGCUCACGCUUGAAUACAUUAGCAUGGAAUAAUGAAAUAGGACGUUUGACCCUAUUUUGUUGGUUUCUAGGAUCGACGUAAUGAUUAAUAGGGAUAGUUGGGGGCAUUAGUAUUCAAUUGUCAGAGGUGAAAUUCUUGAAUUUAUUGAAGACUAACUACUGCGAAAGCAUUUGCCAAGGAUGUUUUCAUUAAUCAAGAACGAAAGUUAGGGGAUCGAAGACGAUCAGAUACCGUCGUAGUCUUAACCAUAAACUAUGCCGACUAGGGAUCGGAUGAUGUUAAUUUUAUAAUGACUCAU